This 406-nucleotide ribosomal RNA is filed under the name uncultured bacterium. RNAcentral's name for it is "partial 16S ribosomal RNA". It matches the Rfam family "Bacterial small subunit ribosomal RNA", at positions 30 to 526 of the family's 1533-position model. The record is from RNAcentral.
AUUGAACGCUGGCGGCAGGCCUAACACAUGCAAGUCGAACGAGUGGCGGACGGGUGAGUAAUGUCUGGGAAACUGCCUGAUGGAGGGGGAUAACUACUGGAAACGGUAGCUAAUACCGCAUACUGUCAGAUGUGCCCAGAUGGGAUUAGCUGGUUGGUGGGGUAACGGCUCACCAGGGCGACGAUCCCUAGCUGGUCUGAGAGGCUGACCAGCCAAACUGGAACGUAGACACGGUCCAGACUCCGACGGGAGGAAGAAGUGGGGAAGAUUGCACAAUGGGCGCAAGCCUGAUGCAGCAAUGCCGAGUGUAUGAAGAAGGCCUUCGGGUUGUAAAGUACUUUCAGCGGGGAGGCGUUACCCGCAGAAGAAGCACCGGCUAACUCCGUGCCAGCAGCCGCGGUAAUAC